Molecule: ribosomal RNA, 497 nt
Filed under: uncultured bacterium
Lineage: Bacteria
Description: partial 16S ribosomal RNA
Rfam family: Bacterial small subunit ribosomal RNA
Source: RNAcentral
GAUGAACGCUGGCGGCGUGCCUAAUACAUGCAAGUCGAGCGAACAGAUGAGGAGCUUGCUCCUCUGACGUUAGCGGCGGACGGGUGAGUAACACGUGGAUAACCUACCUAUAAGACUGGGAUAACUUCGGGAAACCGGAGCUAAUACCGGAUAAUAUAUUGAACCGCAUGGUUCAAUAGUGAAAGACGGUUUUGCUGUCACUUAUAGAUGGAUCCGCGCCGCAUUAGCUAGUUGGUAAGGUAACGGCUUACCAAGGCAACGAUGCGUAGCCGACCUGAGAGGGUGAUCGGCCACACUGGAACUGAGACACGGUCCAGACUCCUACGGGAGGCAGCAGUAGGGAAUCUUGCGCAAUGGGCGAAAGCCUGACGGAGCAACGCCGCGUGGGUGAUGAAGGUCUUCGGAUCGUAAAACUCUGUUAUUAGGGAAGAACAAAUGUGUAAGUAACUAUGCACGUCCUGACGGUACCUAAUCAGAAAGCCACGGCUAACUACGUG